GGACCUGAUAUCAGGCAAGAUUACCCGCUGAACUUAAGCAUAUCAAUAAGCGGAGGAAAAGAAACUAACAAGGAUUCCCCUAGUAACGGCGAGUGAAGCGGGAAGAGCUCAAGCUUAAAAUCUCCGUGCAAGUUUUGCGCGGCGAAUUGUAGUCUAUAGAGGCGUGGUCAGCGUGGGCGCUUGGGGCAAGUUCCUUGGAA
This 200-nucleotide non-coding RNA is filed under the name Phytophthora sojae strain P6497. RNAcentral describes it as "Eukaryotic large subunit ribosomal RNA". It matches the Rfam family "Eukaryotic large subunit ribosomal RNA", at positions 1 to 195 of the family's 3401-position model. RNAcentral also lists the same sequence under 1 other name. Lineage: Eukaryota; Oomycota; Peronosporomycetes; Peronosporales; Peronosporaceae. The record is from Rfam by way of RNAcentral.